UACGUAGGGUGCAAGCGUUAAUCGGAAUUACUGGGCGUAAAGCGUGCGCAGGCGGUUAUGUAAGACAGAUGUGAAAUCCCCGGGCUCAACCUGGGAACUGCAUUUGUGACUGCAUAGCUAGAGUGCGGCAGAGGGAGAUGGAAUUCCGCGUGUAGCAGUGAAAUGCGUAGAUAUCGGGAGGAACACCUGUGGCGAAGGCGGCCCCCUGGUCGGAUACUGACGCUGAGACGCGAAAGCGUGGGGAGCAAACAGG
Molecule: ribosomal RNA, 253 nt
Filed under: uncultured bacterium
Lineage: Bacteria
Description: partial 16S ribosomal RNA
Rfam family: Bacterial small subunit ribosomal RNA
Source: RNAcentral